CCAACCGGGAGAGAGCGCCGAGCCAGUAAUAUAAGGCAUGAGCGCCGCCGAAGGAGCAACGGCCCCGUAAACUCUCAGGCAAAAGGACCGGUGGC
RNAcentral lists this non-coding RNA (95 nucleotides) under Candidatus Oceanisphaera merdipullorum. RNAcentral's name for it is "Glycine riboswitch". It matches the Rfam family "Glycine riboswitch aptamer", at positions 7 to 88 of the family's 94-position model. From Rfam's summary of the family: This family represents the bacterial glycine riboswitch. Glycine riboswitches usually consist of two metabolite-binding aptamers domains with similar structures in tandem. The aptamers cooperatively bind glycine to regulate the expression of downstream genes. The record is from RNAcentral. Lineage: Bacteria; Pseudomonadati; Pseudomonadota; Gammaproteobacteria; Aeromonadales; Aeromonadaceae.